GCCAGGACCUGCCGGGAGCCCCCCGGGCCGCCUGAGACCCCCUGGGUGGGAUCUGACCCCCCCUGGGGUGGGGUUUGAUCCCCCCUGGGUGGGAUCUGACCCCUCCAUGGGGCAGGAUCCAGCCCCGAUCCCAUCAGGAUUUGGGGUCGGGUCUUGUUCCCCUUCUCGCUGCCCUACUGGGACCUGCCGGGAGCCCCCCGGGCUGGGUGAGACCCCCUGGGGUGGGAUUGAUCCCCCCUGGGUGGGAUCUGACCCCCCCUGGGUGGGAUUUGAUCCCCCCUGGGUGGGAUCUGACCCCUCCAUGGGGCAGGAUCCACCCCCGAUCCCAUCAGGAAAUGAUUUGGGAUCGGGUCUUGUUCCCCUUCUCACUGCCCUACCGGGACCUGCCGGGAGCCCCCCGGGCUGCCUGAGACCCCCUGGGGGGGAUUGAUCCCCUCCAGGUGGGGUUUGAUCCCCCCUGGGUGGGAUUUGACCCCUCCAGGUGGGAUCCAGCCCCGAUCCCAUCAGGAGAGGAUUUGGGGUCGGGUGUUGUGUCCCCUCUCCAUGACCUGCCAGGACCUGCCAGGAGCCCCCCGGGCUGGGUGAGACCCCCUGGGGUGGGAUUGACCCCCCCUGGGUGGGGUUUGACCCCUCCAGGUGGGAUCUGACCCCUCCAUGGGGCAGGAUCCACCCCCGAUCCCAUCAGGAUUUGGGGUCGGGUCUUGUGUCCCCUCUCCAGAUCCUGAAGGAACUUUCUGGAACCCCUCCAGGGUGGGAUUUGACCCCUCCCCGGGGGGAUCUGACCCCCCCAGGGUGGGAUUUGACCCCCCCAGGGUGGGAUUUGACCCCCCCAGGGUGGGAUUUGACCCCUCCAGGGUGGGAUCUGACCCCUCCAGGGUGGGAUUUGACCCCUCCCCGGGGGGAUUUGACCCCCCCAAAGCGGAUCUGGCCCCGAUCCCUUCGGGGGUCUCGGGCACGUCGGGCACUGCUGUGGCAAUUAAAGGGAUUUCUUUAA
This is a long non-coding RNA of Parus major (Great Tit), 994 nucleotides long. RefSeq lists it as uncharacterized. The transcript is spliced from 2 exons. NCBI's taxonomy places the organism in Eukaryota, Metazoa, Chordata, Aves, Passeriformes, Paridae. The record is from RefSeq and is a predicted model, not a curated record.